UGGGAUGACGUCAAGUCCUCAUGGCCUUUAUGUCUAGGGCUACGACACGUACUACAAUGGCCGGUACAAAGGGCAGCCACUCAGCGAUGAGGCGCUAAUCCCAAUAAAGCCGGUACUCAGUCCGGAUCGCAGUCUGCAACUCGACUGCGUGAAGUUGGAAUCGCUAGUAAUCGUAGAUCAGCAUGCUACGGUGAAUACGUUCCCGGGCCUU
RNAcentral lists this ribosomal RNA (211 nucleotides) under uncultured Desulfurivibrio sp. RNAcentral's name for it is "partial 16S ribosomal RNA". It matches the Rfam family "Bacterial small subunit ribosomal RNA", at positions 1175 to 1382 of the family's 1533-position model. Lineage: Bacteria; Pseudomonadati; Thermodesulfobacteriota; Desulfobulbia; Desulfobulbales; Desulfobulbaceae. The record is from RNAcentral.